GAUUAACGCUGGCGGCGUGCAUAACACAUGCAAGUCGAACGAUGACACUUAAAUGAUUUCUUCGGAAUGAACUUACGUGGAUUAGUGGCGGACGGGUGAGUAACGCGUGAGUAACCUGCCUUACACAAGGGGAUAGCCGUUGGAAACGACGAAUAAUACCCUAUGAAACUAUCACUUCGCAUGAUGCGAUAGUCAAAGUGUUAGCGGUGUAAGAUGGACUUGCGUCUGAUUAGCUAGUUGGUGAGAAAAAAGCCCACCAAGGCAACGAUCAGUAGCCGGCUGGAGAGAGUGUACGGCACAAUUGGGACUGAGGCACGGCCCAGACUCCUACGGGAGGCAGCAGGGGGGAAUUUUGCACAAUGGGGGAAACCCUGAUGCAGCGAGGCGGCGUGAUUUAGAAGGCCUUCGGGUUGUAAAAAUCUUUUGUAUAGGAAGAAAAUGACAGUACUAUACGAAUAAGGUCCGGCUAAUUACGUG
Molecule: ribosomal RNA, 477 nt
Filed under: uncultured bacterium
Lineage: Bacteria
Description: partial 16S ribosomal RNA
Rfam family: Bacterial small subunit ribosomal RNA
Source: RNAcentral